GAUGAACGCUGGCGGCGUGCCUAAUACAUGCAAGUCGAGCGAACGGACGAGAAGCUUGCUCUUCUGAUGUUAGCGGCGGACGGGUGAGUAACACGUGGAUAACCUACCUAUAAGACUGGGAUAACUUCGGGAAACCGGAGCUAAUACCGGAUAAUAUUUUGAACCGCAUGGUUCAAAAGUGAAAGACGGUCUUGCUGUCACUUAUAGAUGGAUCCGCGCUGCAUUAGCUAGUUGGUAAGGUAACGGCUUACCAAGGCAACGAUGCAUAGCCGACCUGAGAGGGUGAUCGGCCACACUGGAACUGAGACACGGUCCAGACUCCUACGGGAGGCAGCAGUAGGGAAUCUUACGCAAUGGGCGAAAGCCUGACGGAGCAACGCCGCGUGAGUGAUGAAGGUCUUCGGAUCGUAAAACUCUGUUAUUAGGGAAGAACAUAUGUGUAAGUAACUGUGCACAUCUUGACGGUACCUAAUCAGAAAGCCACGGCUAACUACGUG
This 497-nucleotide ribosomal RNA is filed under the name uncultured bacterium. Its description in RNAcentral is "partial 16S ribosomal RNA". It matches the Rfam family "Bacterial small subunit ribosomal RNA", at positions 28 to 507 of the family's 1533-position model. The record is from RNAcentral.